Molecule: long non-coding RNA, 356 nt
Filed under: Olea europaea (common olive)
Lineage: Eukaryota; Viridiplantae; Streptophyta; Magnoliopsida; Lamiales; Oleaceae
Description: long non-coding RNA (OEUR_LNC004197)
Source: RNAcentral
UUGCUUUCACGAAAAGAAAGUCAUCAGUAACAUAGAAAGUCUGUAGAUCAGACCAAAUACGUGUAUAAAAACACUCAAUUCACACUCUUCCCAAUCCCAUUACUUGAUCUACUCUACCCACAAUAUUGGCUCAUAACUGAAAGGGAAGAGUAGAAGAUAAAACAGGUAUGAGGUCUGAAUUUUCUUCUGUAAAAAUCUCAACCCACAUUGUAAUUUAGUCCAAUAAAUAUUGACAACAAAGGUGGAAGAUAGUACAGAUCUAUUGAUUUUCCAAUUUUCUUCAGUGAAUCCUCUGUUUGAAGGGAGAAAAAAAUGGCUGAGGUUUCUGCUAAGAGUUUCAUACCUGAAUCAUUNNN